RNAcentral lists this transfer RNA (99 nucleotides) under Oceanospirillaceae bacterium. RNAcentral's name for it is "tRNA-Gln". It matches the Rfam family "tRNA". From Rfam's summary of the family: Transfer RNA (tRNA) molecules are approximately 80 nucleotides in length. Their secondary structure includes four short double-helical elements and three loops (D, anti-codon, and T loops). The record is from RNAcentral. Lineage: Bacteria; Pseudomonadati; Pseudomonadota; Gammaproteobacteria; Oceanospirillales; Oceanospirillaceae.
UGGGGUAUCGCCAAGCGGUAAGGCAACGGGUUUUGAUCUCGUCAUGCCAACGGGUUUUGAUCUCGUCAUGCGUAGGUUCGAAUCCUUCUACCCCAACCA